CAGUUAACUGACAGUGUCACCAUCACCACAGUCCUGAUUAUCUCCAAAUCUGGUGAUUAUAGUAUCCAAGGGAACCAGGGCAGUGGCUGGUAGCAUGGGCCGCCUGGAGCUUAAAACAGAGUAGUAGAAACUACAUGCAACACAAGCCAGGAAGAACUAAAAGAAAAAAAAUAAAUGAAGCAAAUACUCAAAUCCUCUCUACCACAAGCAAAAUGAACGAAGAAACUCCCAAAGCAGCCUUUCUCAUCUGGAGUUCAGAAUAACAACACAGUAUCUAUUACAGAAACAUUCCUGUAAGUAGAAGGUGAUUGCUCAAGAUACAGCUGGAGCCCCACGCCCAUGCCCAUAGCAAAUGGAGCUUAGUAAAGGAGAGCAGGCAUCCUGCACAGCGGCUUCCCAGCGCCUCACCGCAGGAUACGGCGGUGUGCUGCUGCCAGCCUCCCAUCACAUGGUGUCUCUCAUCUAGUACACCAUGCUGGAACCAUGCUAGAGCAUAUGAUGACUGCCUAAAUAUAAAACUAGUAAUAAAUUUAUUCUUAUCCCA
This is a long non-coding RNA of Mastomys coucha (southern multimammate mouse), 544 nucleotides long. RefSeq lists it as uncharacterized. The record is from RefSeq and is a predicted model, not a curated record. Lineage: Eukaryota; Metazoa; Chordata; Mammalia; Rodentia; Muridae. The transcript is spliced from 3 exons.